CCUACGGGAGGCAGCAGUGGGGGAUAUUGCACAAUGGGGGGAACCCUGAUGCAGCGACGCCGCGUGGGUGAAGGAGCGUUUCGGCGCGUAAAGCCCUAUCGGCAGGGAAGAAGGAGGACGGUACCUGACUAAGAAGCCCCUGCUAACUACGUGCCAGCAGCCGCGGUAAUACGCAGGGGGCAAGCGUUAUCCGGAUUUACUGGGUUUAAAGGGGGCGCAGGGGGGAGUGCAAGCUAGGAGGGAAAGCCCGGGGCCCAACCCCGGGACUGCUGUUGGAACUGGGGGGCUGGAGUGCAGGAGGGGCAGGCGGAAUUCCUGGUGUAGCGGUGAAAUGCGUAGAUAUCAGGAGGAACACCGGUGGCGAAGGCGGCCUGCUGGACUGCUACUGACGUUGAGGCCCGAAAGCGUGGGGAGCGAACAGGAUUAGAUACCCCUGUAGUC
This 441-nucleotide ribosomal RNA is filed under the name uncultured bacterium. RNAcentral's name for it is "partial 16S ribosomal RNA". It matches the Rfam family "Bacterial small subunit ribosomal RNA", at positions 338 to 795 of the family's 1533-position model. The record is from RNAcentral.